Molecule: long non-coding RNA, 452 nt
Filed under: Cricetulus griseus (Chinese hamster)
Lineage: Eukaryota; Metazoa; Chordata; Mammalia; Rodentia; Cricetidae
Description: lncRNA (ENSCGRG00015037104.1)
Source: RNAcentral
CGUGAAUUUGUCCCUGUUGCCGCUAGGCGCUGGGCCGCCACCAGGGGUCAGGGCGAAAGCCAGAUAUAAGAGCGUUCAGACUGGUCCAAUUUCCAAGCGUGACUUUGGCCCCCUGAGCGCCCUUUAAUUUCAGCACCGUCAAGGUCUCACUCUGUAAUUCAAGCUGACCUUGGACUCACAGCAAUCCUCUUACCUCAGCAAGAAAAUAAAAAGCUGUGGAUUCCUUCCAGACUAAUAUGGUUUGAUCAAGCAAGACCCCCUGAAGCUGAGACGAUACAGCCUUACAGACUACAAAAACAAGGACUUGGAUUGAUGGCUAGUACCUAAAAUUCAAGCGCUUGGCAGGUAGAGGCAGAAGGAUCUGGAGUCCAAGGACAUUUUCAGCUAUAUGAAAGAAAAACUGAAAACCCAACAUCACUUUUUGGAAUCUGAGAAUGCUACUAGUAAACCAC